This 253-nucleotide ribosomal RNA is filed under the name uncultured bacterium. RNAcentral describes it as "partial 16S ribosomal RNA". It matches the Rfam family "Bacterial small subunit ribosomal RNA", at positions 524 to 776 of the family's 1533-position model. The record is from RNAcentral.
UACGUAGGGUGCGAGCGUUAAUCGGAAUUACUGGGCGUAAAGCGUGCGCAGGCGGUUGUGCAAGACAGGUGUGAAAUCCCCGGGCUUAACCUGGGAACUGCAUUUGUGACUGCAUGGCUAGAGUUUGGCAGAGGGGGGUAGAAUUCCACGUGUAGCAGUGAAAUGCGUAGAUAUGUGGAGGAACACCGAUGGCGAAGGCAGCCCCCUGGGUCAAGACUGACGCUCAUGCACGAAAGCGUGGGGAGCAAACAGG